CAAGCGACUUAGGGUCUUCAGAUUCUGGUAGCCAGUCA
RNAcentral lists this long non-coding RNA (38 nucleotides) under Castor canadensis (American beaver). RNAcentral's name for it is "GNAS antisense RNA 1 conserved region 3 (ENSCCNG00000019578.1)". It matches the Rfam family "GNAS antisense RNA 1 conserved region 3". Lineage: Eukaryota; Metazoa; Chordata; Mammalia; Rodentia; Castoridae. The record is from RNAcentral.